UCCGAGUUGACCCCGGCAGUCUCCUGCGAGUCCCCGCCAUUACGCGCUGGCAACACAGGACAAGGGUUGCGCUCGUUGCGGGACUUAACCCAACAUCUCACGACACGAGCUGACGACAGCCAUGCACCACCUGUGCACGGCCCCGAAGGACACCGUAUCUCUACGGCUUUUCCGUGCAUUUCACGCCCUGGUAAGGUUCUUCGCGUUGCGUCGAAUUAAGCCACAUGCUCCGCCGCUUGUGCAGGCCCCCGUCAAUUCCUUUGAGUUUUAGCCUUGCGGCCGUACUCCCCAGGCGGGGCGCUUAAUGCGUUAGCUACGGCACGGAAAACAAUGAAGCUCCCCACGCCUAGCGCCCAACGUUUACGGCGUGGACUAC
This 376-nucleotide unclassified non-coding RNA is filed under the name uncultured Actinomycetes bacterium. RNAcentral's name for it is "uncultured actinobacterium contains 16S-23S intergenic spacer region". The record is from RNAcentral. Lineage: Bacteria; Bacillati; Actinomycetota; Actinomycetes.